Nemania abortiva is the source of this 112-nucleotide non-coding RNA. The record is from the annotation of a GenBank genome assembly. Lineage: Eukaryota; Fungi; Ascomycota; Sordariomycetes; Xylariales; Xylariaceae.
GGCGAGAUGGCCGAGCGGUUAUGGCGGAUGACUCAAGAAAAAGUUCUUACCCGUCUAAACGGGCAGCAUUCAUCUGGGGCAACCCGCGUGGGUUCGAAUCCCACUCUCGUCA